CUCAGAGUGAUUAGUUCAAGGUCAUGCUGCUGAGUCAUUUUAUAAGAAUGUGUCAAUUUUAAAACUUCAGGCCAAGAGAUCCUUGGAAUACGCACACCAAACCCUGCAGUCAGUGAAACAUUAACAGUUCAUGGAGCUGCCUUUCACAAACCUAGAAGUAGCUUUCAUCUUGUUGGCUUUUGUCAUUUUCUCCUUGUUUUCCCUGGCUUCCAUCUACAGUGACCCUCAUGACCAUAACACAGACACGGAACACUGCUCACAGGAAGAAAAGAGGAAAAGGAGAAAGGUGGACAAGAGAAAAAAUCAUGCAAGUGUGACUGAAGUGAUUUAGAAUGAGAAGUACUUUUCACACCAGUUGCUAGAUACACGGCUGAUGAAGGUUGAUGUGGAAGCUGGUCACCUGGCAAUGGUGAAAUGAAGGAUGUGACAGAAAGGAAGGAGCUGCUCAUUGAUCAGAUGGAAUCCAGACAUGACAGUAACAGUUAAUGAACCAUGUCCUAUGAAGCAGCUUCAGCACCUUUUUACAACCCCACUUCUCAGCCUUAAUAAAACUAUCAGAGCCUUUAAAGGAGCA
RNAcentral lists this long non-coding RNA (574 nucleotides) under Crocodylus porosus (Australian saltwater crocodile). RNAcentral's name for it is "lncRNA (ENSCPRG00005010543.1)". Lineage: Eukaryota; Metazoa; Chordata; Crocodylia; Crocodylidae. The record is from RNAcentral.